This 2115-nucleotide long non-coding RNA is filed under the name Brassica napus (rape). RNAcentral's name for it is "long non-coding RNA (BNAP_LNC006201)". The record is from RNAcentral. Lineage: Eukaryota; Viridiplantae; Streptophyta; Magnoliopsida; Brassicales; Brassicaceae.
CUUUUGCAAACAGCUUGACACAACCAUAAUAAUAGUUGAAACUUGAAAAGAAAAAAAAACUUGAUAAGAAACUGUAAGAUACAAAGAAACUUAACAAUGAAAAAGGCCGCUUUGAAAUCUUUUCUGCCUGUAAACGGUUUAUAUUGUUUCUCUGUGUAAGGAAAAAAUUGUAAUGUACAACAGGAGUUAGUGUUCUUUUGCUUCUUUACUAGAACCACCUCUACAACAGCCAACAGACGGUGAAGGUCGAAACUUGUAAUAAGUAGCAAAAGACAAAUAAACGAAGCUUAGACCAACAUAGACUUUGAAACAGCUAUGUGAAUACAAGGUCAGAUAAACGAACACCCCUGUCAAAGAUAUCACCACUCCAAAAGUUGCAACGCAUUUCAAGAUAGGAAGCGCCUGGAUCUAGUUGAAACCCGCCUUCGCCGAGGGUGCUGCCUUUGCCGGCGAAAGUUGCCGGCCAGACGGUGUAAGGGCAGCUGUUCUUCAGUGUGAAGACGGUGGCGGAAACAGCAACUCCGCCUUCAUUUUUGUAAAACACAAACCAAAUCAUUAAAAAGGAAGAUAAAGACAUAAGUGAAUGAAAUAGUGAAGAAACAAAAACAAAAACAUACUGAGUGAAAUAGUGAAGAAACAAAAACAAAAACAUAAUGUGUUUGUUGUUGCUGCUGUUACCUGUAAUGAACAUGAAGAAGAGAAUGUGAAGACUGGCCAUUCUUUUUUUUUGUAUUUAGUUUCUUGUGUGUUAUGUGUUGUGAAUGUUGAUGAUGAUGAAUGUCAGUGGCAUUGAUCCUCUAUUUAUAAAGUACAGAUUCUAGGUAGUGACGUAGUGUUUUUUAUUUAUUUGCAUCUAUAAUGACGUAGUGUGAGCAGGAUUUGAAAGAGGAAUCAAAGACUUCUUCUUCAUCAUCAAAGGCCCAUAACUAAUGGGAACGGGGCACAUUUUCAGCGAACUAGAACCGGGGAAUGGGUUGAGAAGACUGACUUAAGGCUUAGAAUCAAUGUUCAGGAAACUUAACCAACUCCGUGCCGGUGAAAAAUAAGAGUACUUAAACCUACCGUGAGAAUGGGUUUUCCUUGACAAAUAUAUAUAUAUAUAUUUUUUUUUUCCUUGACAAAUAUGAUUUAUUGUAUGGUUCUGUGACUUUGUAAAUUAUAAUGUGAUGGGGUUGAGAAGACCGACUUAGACUGAAGGGCUACACGGUUUUAAACAUGUAUAUGCUUCCCAUGGGACAAGUUGAAGUGGGUUUGAUAAAUAUGCUGGCAAUCAAAAGGUAUCUAUAGACAUUGUGUUUGUUUUUAGGUUUCUCAAUUCUUUCCCCACAAAAAAGGUAAAUAAAGUUCAAAAGUUGAUUCUAUUAAAACCAACCUGAUCUCACUUAUGCUUUUACUUGGAUAGGGAGAUAAGAUGACAUGUGAACUAGAAAAUGCAUGUAAAUAAAACAGGAGAUGCUAUAUACAUGCUCUUCCUGAAAAGAUGAUCUUGUAGAGCAGUUAAAGAGCAAGAGCAAGAGCAACGGUCUUCUCUCUCUGACAACAACAAGAUUUAAUGACUUAUUGUUGUUUUCGCAGCUCCAACAAUCAUCUCUUUCUUACACAGUUCUGUUGCUCGAUGAAAGUUUCUGGAAGAAGAACUAAUUUCUCAGUGGCUUUUGCAAACAGCUUGACACAACCAUAAUAAUAGUUGAAACUUGAAAAGAAAAAAAAACUUGAUAAGAAACUGUAAGAUACAAAGAAACUUAACAAUGAAAAAGGCCGCUUUGAAAUCUUUUCUGCCUGUAAACGGUUUAUAUUGUUUCUCUGUGUAAGGAAAAAAUUGUAAUGUACAACAGGAGUUAGUGUUCUUUUGCUUCUUUACUAGAACCACCUCUACAACAGCCAACAGACGGUGAAGGUCGAAACUUGUAAUAAGUAGCAAAAGACAAAUAAACGAAGCUUAGACCAACAUAGACUUUGAAACAGCUAUGUGAAUACAAGGUCAGAUAAACGAACACCCCUGUCAAAGAUAUCACCACUCCAAAAGUUGCAACGCAUUUCAAGAUAGAGAGUUCUUCUCCUCCUUGUCUUUGAUUUGGGAACUGCCCCUGAGCAUUGAAAUCAGAUAACAGUUUG